ACUCGAGCUCGGCCCUGUAAUAAAAUGGGGGUGAGAACUAUCUCCCAUAGUUCCCAGUGGGUUCGACCGCCGACUCCGCCGAUCUCCCCACUAGGUCUAAGGAGGCAUAGAGAGACAAUAGAUAGAUGGAUAGGUAUAAUUGAAGGCAACAAUUGUAAUAAAGCAAGUACGAAUGCAAAUAUCUAACUAUGCCUCAAUCCAAUGUAAUGCAUGCAUGAUAAUCAUAGUAAAGGCUGACUACUAGUCUACUAUGUUCGACAAUGAAGUUAUUCAUUAGAUCACCCAAUCAUUCGGUUAAACCGGUAACUCAUUUUCAAUCUCACGUUUGUAAGUCUCAUAGGGGAGUAGCCUUACUGAACUAUCCCCCGAGACCGCCUGCGGACAGAUUCACUGACUGUCCGGGCAGCGCGCGUGGCUGCCCCUCGAGUGACAAAUACUCCGGAGUGCACAGCCUGUGGGGAGCGACCCCGACAAGCGCAGACAGGCUAUGUGAGUAUAAUCCAAUCUCUCAAAAUUGGGAACAUCCUAUCUGUAGGACACUGGAUCUGUGCAAAUUGCGGGGUUCGAGUGUUUGGUUGUGUUUCGAGCUUUUUCACACUUGGUGGAGGGUCGUAGAAUGAUUUCCGACCUAAGAAGUUCGAAAACCUGAGUUCUGGACGAGUCCUGAGAGUUUUUACUCUCGGGGACCGGUCCCUAAUAGGAGAGACCGGUCCCCCAGUGAGCAGUAUUGCGGCAGCCUUGGGGCAACCGGUCCCUGGCGGGCGAGACCGGUCCUCGAGCGCGUGCGCGCGGGGAGAGACCGGUCCCAUGCGGGGAGAGACCGGUUCCCGAAUGUGGAUUUUCUGAGGGCAGGCCGAGAGACGGGUCCCAUGUCGGGGAGACCGGUCCCUCAGCCCGAAAUCUGCCCAGACCGGG
This 915-nucleotide long non-coding RNA is filed under the name Ananas comosus (pineapple). Its description in RNAcentral is "long non-coding RNA (ACOM_LNC041562)". The record is from RNAcentral. Lineage: Eukaryota; Viridiplantae; Streptophyta; Magnoliopsida; Poales; Bromeliaceae.